Molecule: ribosomal RNA, 459 nt
Filed under: uncultured bacterium
Lineage: Bacteria
Description: bacterial SSU rRNA
Rfam family: Bacterial small subunit ribosomal RNA
Source: RNAcentral
AACGAACGCUGGCGGCAUGCCUAACACAUGCAAGUCGAACGGGAUCCUAGCUUGCUAGGUGAGAGUGGCGGACGGGUGAGUAACGCGUGGGAAUCUGCCUUUUGGUUCGGGAUAACCGCGGGAAACUGCGGCUAAUACCGAAUGCCCUCGAGAGAGGAAAGAUUUAUCGCCAGAAGAGGAGCCCGCGUCCGAUUAGGUAGUUGGUGGGGUAAAGGCCUACCAAGCCGACGAUCGGUAGCUGGUCUGAGAGGAUGAUCAGCCACACUGGGACUGAGACACGGCCCAGACUCCUACGGGAGGCAGCAGUGGGGAAUAUUGGACAAUGGGGGCAACCCUGAUCCAGCAAUGCCGCGUGAGUGAUGAAGGCCUUAGGGUUGUAAAGCUCUUUUGCCAGGGAAGAUGAUGACUGUACCUGGAGAAUAAGCCCCCGGCUAACUUCGUGCCAGCAGCCGCGGUAAU